GACGAACGCUGGCGGCGUGCCUAAUACAUGCAAGUCGAACGCAUUUUCUUUCACCGUAGCUUGCUACACCGAAAGAAAAUGAGUGGCGAACGGGUGAGUAACACGUGUGCAACCUGCCCAUCAGCGGGGGAUAACACUUGGAAACAGGUGCUAAUACCGCAUAAUUCCAUUUACCGCAUGGUAGAUGGAUGAAAGGCGCUUUUGCGUCACUGAUGGAUGGACCCGCGGUGCAUUAGCUAGUUGGUGGGGUAACGGCCUACCAAGGCUGCGAUGCAUAGCCGACCUGAGAGGGUGAUCGGCCACACUGGGACUGAGACACGGCCCAGACUCCUACGGGAGGCAGCAGUAGGGAAUCUUCGGCAAUGGACACAAGUCUGACCGAGCAACGCCGCGUGAGUGAAGAAGGUUUUCGGAUCGUAAAACUCUGUUGUUAGAGAAGAACAAGGAUGAGAGUGGAAAGUUCAUCCCUUGACGGUAUCUAACCAGAAAGCCACGGCUAACUACGUG
This 507-nucleotide ribosomal RNA is filed under the name uncultured bacterium. RNAcentral describes it as "partial 16S ribosomal RNA". It matches the Rfam family "Bacterial small subunit ribosomal RNA", at positions 28 to 507 of the family's 1533-position model. The record is from RNAcentral.